AGUGAACGCUGGCGGUAGGCCUAACACAUGCAAGUCGAACGGCAGCACAGUAAGAGCUUGCUCUUACGGGUGGCGAGUGGCGGACGGGUGAGGAAUACAUCGGAAUCUACUUUUUCGUGGGGGAUAACGUAGGGAAACUUACGCUAAUACCGCAUACGACCUACGGGUGAAAGCAGGGGAUCUUCGGACCUUGCGCGAUUGAAUGAGCCGAUGUCGGAUUAGCUAGUUGGCGGGGUAAAGGCCCACCAAGGCGACGAUCCGUAGCUGGUCUGAGAGGAUGAUCAGCCACACUGGAACUGAGACACGGUCCAGACUCCUACGGGAGGCAGCAGUGGGGAAUAUUGGACAAUGGGCGCAAGCCUGCUCCAGCCAUACUGCGUGGGUGAAGAAGGCCUUCGGUUUGUAAAGCCCUUUUGUUGGGAAAGAAAAGCAGCAGGUUAAUACCCCGCUGUUCUGACGGUACCCAAAGAAUAAGCACCGGCUAACUUCGUG
Molecule: ribosomal RNA, 492 nt
Filed under: uncultured bacterium
Lineage: Bacteria
Description: partial 16S ribosomal RNA
Rfam family: Bacterial small subunit ribosomal RNA
Source: RNAcentral